This 1674-nucleotide ribosomal RNA is filed under the name human gut metagenome. Its description in RNAcentral is "bacterial LSU rRNA". It matches the Rfam family "Bacterial large subunit ribosomal RNA", at positions 1377 to 2925 of the family's 2925-position model. The record is from RNAcentral.
GGGUGAGUCGGGUCCUAAGGCGAGGCCGACAGGCGUAGUCGAAUGGAUGAACGGGUGGAUAUUCCCGUACCGACCAUGGACCGGCAAAACCGAGACGGUGAGUACUAACCUCCGCCUCGUGGUGGUUCCUUCCUUCGGGUUGGUAUCGCCGCGUGGUGUUGGGACUGUAGCCGCAGUAGGUCAGCGCAGGGGUGACACGGAAUGGGAGCCGGCCGCGGAGGUGGUUUUCCGUGGUCAAGCACGCAGCCAGUCAUGUAGGCAAAUCCGCAUGGCGCGCAUGGCGAGGUGUGAUGAUGGGAGCCGUUAUGGCUCGAUAUCCGGUUGUCCAGGCCGUCGAGAAAAGCCUCGGCGUGAGGGCCAUGGCCGCCCGUACCCCAAACCGACACUGGUGGUCAGGUAGAGAAUACCAAGGCGAUCGAGCGAAUCCUGGUCAAGGAACUCGGCAAAUCACUCCCGUGCCUUCGGUAUAAGGGAGACCCACUGGGGUGAACGGCCUCGCGCCGGGAGCUUUGGUGGGUGGCACAGACCAGGGGGUAGCGACUGUUUACCAAAAACACAGGUGCAUGCGAAGGCGAAAGCCGCUGUAUAUGCACUGACGCCUGCCCGGUGCCGGAAGGUUAAGAGGAUCCGUCAAUCCCUUCGGGGACGAAGCGGUGAAUUCAAGCCCCGGUAAACGGCGGUGGUAACUAUAACCAUCCUAAGGUAGCGAAAUUCCUUGUCGGGUAAGUUCCGACCUGCACGAAUGGCGUAACGACUUCCCCACUGUCUCGACCAGGAGCUCGGCGAAAUUGCAGUACGAGUAAAGAUGCUCGUUAAGCGCAGAAGGACGAAAAGACCCCGGGACCUUUACUAUACCUUGGUAUUGGCGUUAGGCGCGGAUUGUGUAGCAUAGGCGGGAGGCUUCGAAGCGGGUGCGCCAGCAUUCGCGGAGCCGCAAGGUGAAAUACCGCUCUGUUCUCGUUUGACGUCUAACCUCGACAAGUCAUCCUUGUCAGGGACAGUGCCUGGCGGGUAGUUCAACUGGGGCGGUUGCCUCCCAAAGAGUAACGGAGGCGCUCAAAGGUCCGCUCAGCCCGGUUGGCAAUCGGGUGUCGAGUGUAAUCGCACAAGCGGGCUUGACUGCGAGGACGACGGUCCGAGCAGGGACGAAAGUCGGAGAUAGUGAUCCGGUGCCGGCGCACGGGCGCGGCAUCGCUCAACGGAUAAAAGGUACCCCGGGGAUAACAGGCUGAUCAUUCCCAAGAGUCCAUAUCGACGGGAUGGUUUGGCACCUCGAUGUCGGCUCGUCGCAUCCUGGGGCUGGAGCAGGUCCCAAGGGUUCGGCUGUUCGCCGAUUAAAGCGGCACGCGAGCUGGGUUCAGAACGUCGUGAGACAGUUUGGUCUCUAUCCUCUGCGCUCGUUGGAAUCCUGAGGAGGCCUGCCCAUAGUACGAGAGGACCUGGGUGGACGAACCUCUGGUAUGCCGGUUGUCGCGCCAGCGGCACGGCCGGUUGGCUACGUUCGGGAGGGAUAACCGCUGAAAGCAUCUAAGCGGGAAGCCUGCUCCAAGAUUAGGAUUCCAUGGAUCUUCGAGAUCCUGUAGCCCGCAUGUUGAACACGUGUUUGAUAGGCCGGAGGUGGAAGCCCCGUGAGGGGUGGAGCCGACCGGUACUAACGGGCGACGGCGACACAAC